GACACACCUGGUAAAUGACCAAUCAGAACACAACAGUUGACGACACACCUAGUAAAUGACAAAUCAGAACACAACACGUUUACAACACACCUAGUCACUGACCAAUCAGAAUACAACACGUUCGUGAAACUUGGGCCAUAGUCUAAGACUAACAACGUGCCAUUUGAACGUGAAAGUCUGUAAUUGCACGAAAAAUAGUUAGCCGAAAUCGAAAUUAUUCCACGGUGAAACAUCUCAUGGAGUGCUUUGAAAAAAUGUUCAGACAUGGACAUUCUUCUCUUAAACGACAAUUAGUCAUCAAAUGAGAUUGAGAAACAACGAACAAAUGUUGGUGUAUUUACCAUGAUCGUAGACUCCACAAUUAAAGAAAGUGGUUAUUGUUCACAGCGGUUGAAGAGAAUUGUGGCUGUUGUCGACCAGUUCCACGACGCUCAUCUAAACAUAAGAACAAAAUAAAAUUCUGUAAUUUGGUUGAAAAUCUUCUUCCUUGAACUACAUUACUAGUGAAUAAAAUAUUCAAUUAGAAACCUUCUGAUCAAGAAUGGACAAUAGACGUACUUUAAUGAAAUCCUCUGAACAAUGAUCAAGAAUGAACAGCAUACUUUAAUGAAGUCCUCUGAAGAAUUCUUAAGAAUGAACAAUUUACUUUAAUAAAGACCUGAACGAUGAUCAAGAAUGGACAAUAUACUUUAAUGAACUCUUCUGAACAGUGAUCAAGAAUGAACAAUAUACUUCGAUGAAAUUGAAAAAUACGUGACUUCUAAUGCCCUAAAGACCAUCUCUACAAAGAAUGCAAACGCUAAACACUCUUCUGGAGCAAUGCAUCCAUCAGCCUAACGCCUGUUUCCAUGGAAAAGUCAAUAUUAUGACCUUUUCUAAAACAUUUUCCUGGGAGUUUUCCUGCUAACAUCACGACUUGUCAAUCAAUCGCAAUGAUGGAUAAAACCACGCCGCUAUCAAAUGCCCAAAUGUCAACAUUAUUUAAUUGAAAAUUUUUGUA
Molecule: long non-coding RNA, 1000 nt
Organism: Xenia sp. Carnegie-2017
Lineage: Eukaryota; Metazoa; Cnidaria; Anthozoa; Malacalcyonacea; Xeniidae
Exons: 3
Source: RefSeq, a predicted model, not a curated record